This 366-nucleotide ribosomal RNA is filed under the name Pseudoxanthomonas sp. RNAcentral's name for it is "bacterial SSU rRNA". It matches the Rfam family "Bacterial small subunit ribosomal RNA", at positions 350 to 708 of the family's 1533-position model. Lineage: Bacteria; Pseudomonadati; Pseudomonadota; Gammaproteobacteria; Lysobacterales; Lysobacteraceae. The record is from RNAcentral.
AGCAGUGGGGAAUAUUGGACAAUGGGCGCAAGCCUGAUCCAGCCAUACCGCGUGGGUGAAGAAGGCCUUCGGGUUGUAAAGCCCUUUUGUUGGGAAAGAAAAGCAUCCGGUUAAUACCCGGGUGUUCUGACGGUACCCAAAGAAUAAGCACCGGCUAACUUCGUGCCAGCAGCCGCGGUAAUACGAAGGGUGCAAGCGUUACUCGGAAUUACUGGGCGUAAAGCGUGCGUAGGUGGUGAUUUAAGUCCGUUGUGAAAGCCCUGGGCUCAACCUGGGAAUUGCAGUGGAUACUGGGUCACUAGAGUGUGGUAGAGGAUAGUGGAAUUUCCGGUGUAGCAGUGAAAUGCGUAGAGAUCGGAAGGAACA